This 253-nucleotide ribosomal RNA is filed under the name uncultured bacterium. RNAcentral describes it as "partial 16S ribosomal RNA". It matches the Rfam family "Bacterial small subunit ribosomal RNA", at positions 524 to 776 of the family's 1533-position model. The record is from RNAcentral.
UACUAAAGGUGCGAGCGUUAAUCGGAAUUACUGGGCGUAAAGCGCGCGUAGGCGGUUUGCCAAGUUGGAUGUGAAAUCCCCGGGCUCAACCCGGGAACUGCAUUCAAAACUGGCAGGCUAGAGUGUGUAAGAGGAUAGUGGAAUUCCAGGUGUAGCGGUGAAAUGCGUAGAUAUCUGGAGGAACAUCAGUGGCGAAGGCGACUAUCUGGUACAACACUGACGCUGAGGUGCGAAAGCGUGGGGAGCAAACAGG